AACAAAAAGAAAUAAAGGUAACUGUAACAUAGAAACACACACACACACACCCACACACACGCAGGAAUGCAUAUACGCAUACACACACUUUGCUUGGCGUGAUGCAAGAUGCUUGAUAAAUAGAAAUGAAGGGGAGAAUCACUCAUUUGAAUCACUAAGUAUCAAGGAGAAAACAAGAGGAAAGGUUGCCUAAAUCUAACCUAAUAUUACCUUCUCAGCUUAGUGAAAGACACUACAGCCUUCCACUCCCCACCUGAUCCUGUUCUGCAAAUACAUGAGGUCGACCAGCUCUAUUCACCGCACACAGUAGCUAGCAAACACACAUACACUCACACCAACAGUCUGUGUCCACCUCUCAUGCAAACCCUUAUUAUAGACAAACCCAUAAACGCAAAAUCUCUGGAGUCAAAUCAAAACGGGAGUGUUUGUGUGCUUGCCAUGGUGUGUGUCAACUACCCAGUCCCUUGGGUGUCAUCUAACCCACUAAACAUGCAUCGUUAUUACAUGCAUGGUCCAUUUCAUUGCCAUUCAGUCCCCUCAACCCAUCAGCUCUCUGCCAACAUGGAGAUCCUCUAUGUGUCUCUUGUGGCCACUCACGCUCCAGUGUGUGUGUUAAAAGGUCAAUUAAAGCUACAUAAAAAUCUAGCACAUUUUAUCCCCCCGCUGCUGCAGUUUCUAUAGGUCUUUUAUUAUUAUUAUUAUUAUUUUAUAUAUAUUUUUUACACAGUCUUAUUUUUACCCCGGAGCACGAUUUGCCACCAGGUAAAGAUUGAGGUGUGAAAAAAGUCAGGUCGAAGCAAAUUCAGCUAUAGUCUCCUUAACAAACAAAAAAACACUCCCAAAAAUCAGCAUAAAUACAUCAAAGCUCUGUUAUGGAGGGUGAGUCAUGUGGAUGAGACGAUCCGGUGUGGAAAUGCCUCUUCUAGAACGGCCGCUUAAAGGAGGAUCGGAUGAUAAAUUACCGAUGCUAAAUUAUAGAUGGGAUUUAUUUUUGAAACAUAAGGAUCAGGGGCUGGAAGGGUGAACGUCAGGUUAGCUAGAGCAUUAGAGGUGGAGAAAGGGUGACUUUCAGUGUUUAGCGUGGCUAAUAUUACAUCAGGUUAAAUUGAGUGUGUGUGUAUGUGAUCAACAAACCAAACAAGCUAAAUAAACAAUCACUUUAUGAGCAACCUUCGUGUUCAUCCGAGUCUACCUUGAAUUAAAGUUGCUGAAUGUAUUUGGGUGUUAGUUGUGUGUUUCUGUGGGCAGGUUUGACUGGACAGUGCAGUCAGCUGUUGUGUGUUGGCUGACUCGGCAGAAUGAGCUCACUCUCUUAUUGACACAUGGGCUGGGCCAGGGCAGGGCAGGGUAGAGUGUCAUAAUAGGCUGAGACUGUGUGUGUGUGUGUGUGUGUGUGUGUGUGUGUGUGUGUGUGUGUGUGUGUGUGUGUGUGUGUGUGUGUGUGUGUGUGUGUGUGUGUGUGUGUGUGUGUGUGUGUGUGUGUGUGUAUCUUGGGACAGGGUGCACUGUCAGUCUGUGAGAACAGGUUUUAUUGGGGUCUCUACAAGCUACAGGUGUAGUACUAUACUAGGAGGUCAGGUAAAGUCCAGCUACAGGUGCUGUACUAUACUAGGAGGUCAGGUAAAGUCCAGCUACAGGUGUAGUACUAUACUAGGAGGUCAGGUAAAGUCCAGCUACAGGUGUAGUAUUAUACUAGGAGGUCAGGUAAAGUCCAGCUACAGGUGUUGUAUUAUACUAGGAGGUCAGGUAAAGUCCAGCUACAGGUGUAGUACUAUACUAGGAGGUCAGGUAAAGUCCAGCUACAGGUGUAGUAUUAUACUAGGAGGUCAGGUAAAGUCCAGCUACAGGUGUAGUAUUAUACUAGGAGGUCAGGUAAAGUCCAGCUACAGGUGUUGUAUUAUACUAGGAGGUCAGGUAAAGUCCAGCUACAGGUGUUGUAUUAUACUAGGAGGUCAGGUAAAGUCCAGCUACAGGUGUUGUAUUAUACUAGGAGGUCAGGUAAAGUCCAGCUACAGGUGUUGUAUUAUACUAGGAGGUCAGGUAAAGUCCAGCUACAGGUGUUGUAUUAUACUAGGAGGUCAGGUAAAGUCCAGCUACAGGUGUUGUAUUAUACUAGGAGGUCAGGUAAAGUCCAGCUACAGGUGUUGUAUUAUACUAGGAGGUCAGGUAAAGUCCAGCUACGGGUGUGAGUUCAGUAUAUGAGCUAUAAAGCCACAGUUGAAGAGGGUGUGUUUAUUCCCUCUUGGCUAAGAUGUGCGUAUUCAAGUGUAAAACGCAAAUAAACUCAGCAAAAAAAAGAAUUGUCCCUUUUGCAGGACCCCGUCUUUCACAGAUAAUUCUUAAAAAUCCAAAUAACUUCAUGGAUCUUCAUUGUAAAGGGUUUAAACACUGUUUCCUGUGCUUGUUCAAUGAACCAUAAACAGUUAAUGAACAUGCACCUGUGGAACGGUCGUUAAGACCAACAGCUUACAGACGGUCGGCAAUUAAGGUCAGUUAUGAAAACGUAGGACACUAAAGAGGCCUUUCUACUGAUUCUGAAAAACACCAAACGAAAGAUGCCCAGGAUCCCUGCUCAGCUGCGUGAAGAUGCCCUAGGCAUGCUGCAAGGAGGCAUGAGAACUGCAGAUGUGGCCAGGGCAAUAAAUUGCAAUGUCUGUACUGUGAGACGCCUAAGACAGCGCUACAGGGAGACAGGACAGACAGCUGAUUGUCCUCGCAGUGGCAGACCACGUGUAACAAUACCUGCACAGGAUCUGUACAUCCAAACAUCACACCUGGGGGGAGAGGUACAGGAUGGCAACAACAACAGCAGCGAGAGUUUCACCAGAAACGCACAAUCCCUCAAUCAGUGCUUAGACUGUCUGCAAUAGGCUGAGCGAGGCUGGACUGAGGGCUUGUAGGCCGGUUGUAAGACAGGUCCUCACCAGACAUCACCGGCAACAAUGUCACCUAUGGGCACAAACCCACUGUCGCUGGACCAGACAGGACUGGCAAAAAGUGCUCUUCACUGACGAGUUGCGGUUUUGUCUCUCCAGGGGUGUUGGUCGGAUUCGUGUUUAUUGUCGAAGGAAUGACCGUUACACCGAGGCCUGUACUCUGGAGAGGGAUCGAUUUGGAGGUGGAGGUUCCGUCAGGGUCUGGGGCGGUGUGUCACAGCAUCAUCGGACUGAGCUUGUUAUUGCAGGCAAUCUCAAUGCUGUGUUACAGGGAAGACACUCUCCUCCCUCAUGUGGUACCCUUCCUGCAGGCUCAUCCUGACAUGACUCUCCAGCAUGACAAUACCACCAGCCAUACUGCUCGUUCUGUGCUUGAUUUCCUGCAAGACAGGAAUGUCAGUAUUCUGCUAUGGCCAGCGAAGAGACCCGAUUUCAAUCCCAUUGAGCACAUAUAGGACCUGUUGGAUCAGAGGGUGAGGGCUAGGCCACUCCCCCCAGAAAUGUCCAGGAACUUCUAGGUGCCUUGGUGGAAGAGUGGGUCUGUGGAACUUGUUCAGUUUUUGUCUCAGUUGUUGA
Long non-coding RNA from Oncorhynchus keta (chum salmon), 3512 nucleotides. RefSeq lists it as uncharacterized. NCBI's taxonomy places the organism in Eukaryota, Metazoa, Chordata, Actinopteri, Salmoniformes, Salmonidae. The record is from RefSeq and is a predicted model, not a curated record. The transcript is spliced from 3 exons.